CCUACGGGAGGCAGCAGUGGGGAAUAUUGGACAAUGGGCGAAAGCCUGAUCCAGCAAUGCCGCGUGAGUGAUGAAGGCCUUAGGGUCGUAAAGCUCUUUUACCAGGGAUGAUAAUGACAGUACCUGGAGAAUAAGCUCCGGCUAACUCCGUGCCAGCAGCCGCGGUAAUACGGAGGGAGCUAGCGUUGUUCGGAAUUACUGGGCGUAAAGCGUGCGUAGGCGGUUAUUCAAGUCAGAGGUGAAAGCCCGGGGCUCAACCCCGGAACGGCCUUUGAAACUAGAUAACUAGAAUCUUGGAGAGGUCAGUGGAAUUCCGAGUGUAGAGGUGAAAUUCGUAGAUAUUCGGAAGAACACCAGUGGCGAAGGCGACUGACUGGACAAGUAUUGACGCUGAGGUACGAAAGCGUGGGGAGCAAACAGGAUUAGAUACCCUGGUAGUCCACGCCGUAAACGAUGAUAACUAGCUGUCCGGACACUUGGUGUUUGGGUGGCGCAGCUAACGCAUUAAGUUAUCCGCCUGGGGAGUACGGUCGCAGAUUAAAACUCAAAGGAAUUGACGG
This 560-nucleotide ribosomal RNA is filed under the name uncultured bacterium. RNAcentral describes it as "bacterial SSU rRNA". It matches the Rfam family "Bacterial small subunit ribosomal RNA", at positions 338 to 916 of the family's 1533-position model. The record is from RNAcentral.